UGCCCAGAAAGGUCUGGAAACAGGAGAGAGCAUGGGGUAUUCUGCUGUGAACACUCCAUACAGGCUGGCUGGUGGGCCAUGAAAGGUUGUGAAUCCUACAAAGGGCCCAGGCCAGAUCUGGGGAUCAGCGGAGAGCCCUUGGCCGGCUGAGUGACUGUCACCUUUGGCUAGGUGACAUGAGGAGGUGCGGCAGGCAGCCAGGGUGGUUCAGGAAGCCAGUGCAAUCACCAGAUGCUGGCUCCGGGCAUCAGCGAAGGCAGCCGAAGCCCAGGGGUCUAAGUAGCUAUCAUACUGCUACUCCCACUUCCAAAGCAGUAAACCAAAGCUAAAAGUCAAUGGUUCCUAUCCGGAUGAUGGAACAAAUGGAUGGGAGCACCAGGGCCUGACUUCCCCGGGACCUUGAGGCCAAGGCUGGACUCCUUCCAGAUGGCGGGGCCCAUGGGGUCACCAGAUGGCCGCAGACCCGCUUAGACGACACCUGCUAUCCUUGCUCCAGAGCUCAUUUCCUCCUCACAAGUAGGAAAUGUUUCAGUGCCAAGGAUCAUGCCUGGCUGAGAGUCAGGCUUAAACAGACCCCUACUAAACACCCACUGCUCAGUACAGGAAACCCCUGCAUGUGCAUAGCCAAAGGCAAGACCACAGAUUGGGUUACCUUGCUCUGAUCACCUUGCAGCUACAGCCUGGUCUGUGGGGAGUUCUGGCAGAUUUAGGUGAAUGGAGUGAAGGCAAAGAGGCUGAGGCUGUGUGAAGGGGGUAAGGCAGAAAGGGCCUGGGAGAGAGCAGAGCUACCGUGGGGAGAGGAGGGAAGUCGAGGGGCUGAGAAGAGAAACUGGGACAGAGGUCUUCCUUUUCCUAAAACCCCAGCAGGUCAGAGCCCUCUGCCUAAUAGAGCACUUUCUUGGUACUUCCAUCGAUAGUUCAGGUCAAAGUGGACCUUAGCUGGGGGAGCGGGGUACUUGUCUGCUCUUCUAAUCCCUCCGUGGCUCCCAUGGGCCUCAGUUCUGCCCAGAGCUCUGCACAACACAGCUUAGCUGAUUCACAUCGGGCUCCUCAUUUUACAGAUGGAGAAACCAAGUCCACACAGGUUCAACCAGAUAAGGAGCUGACAGGAGAGGCAGGCCUCCAGCCCCCGCCACUCUGAUGUUCACCCCCAUGCUCAUGAUCCGCCCAUAGUGAGCUGGAUUUUCUGAUGAUGACCAGCAUCCCCCCCCCCCGCCCCGCCCCAGUACAGCCAACUCAAACAGGCUUCUCAGUUGCUCAAACCCUACCCUCUGGUCUACCCUCCACCCCAGA
This is a long non-coding RNA of Leopardus geoffroyi (Geoffroy's cat), 1293 nucleotides long. RefSeq lists it as uncharacterized. NCBI's taxonomy places the organism in Eukaryota, Metazoa, Chordata, Mammalia, Carnivora, Felidae. The transcript has 3 exons. The record is from RefSeq and is a predicted model, not a curated record.